This 122-nucleotide small RNA is filed under the name Salmonella enterica subsp. enterica serovar Dublin. RNAcentral's name for it is "RtT sRNA". It matches the Rfam family "RtT RNA". From Rfam's summary of the family: This family represents a bacterial cis-regulatory element known as RtT RNA. The exact function of RtT is unknown although it is thought that it may be involved in changing the cellular response in relation to amino acid starvation. The record is from RNAcentral. Lineage: Bacteria; Pseudomonadati; Pseudomonadota; Gammaproteobacteria; Enterobacterales; Enterobacteriaceae.
AUAUCUCUCUGUACGGGAAGGNNGACUAAGGUUCGAUUCGAGCGUCAGCGAGAAAGCGUUGCCGCAGGCAACGACCCGAAGGGCGAAACGCGCAGCGCUGAGUCAUCCUUCCCCCACCACCA